AACCCAGCAGUCGCGAUGAAAAAAAUGAAACUAACGAAAACGAAAACCAGCGACACCAUCUUCUAACCUGCAAAAAUUUAUACACCACCACCCUCCAUCUCCACCACCACCACCACCACCACCACCACCCUGCGCCUCAAAACCAUUUUUCAGUUUCCUUCGACUAUUACCACGCCCUCCUCCUCCUCCCACCACCUUAAUUUCUUCAAACCUUUACAAAAACCUUUGCCGACAAUCUGAGCUCCCUCUUUUAAUUUUAUCUGAUUUUGAAAUUUUAAUGUAUCAAUUUCAAAUCAAGUUAUUUCACAAAGAAGGGGUUUCAUUAUACACAACUUACUUCACUAAUCAGAGUAGAUUCAGAUGAUUUGGACUCACACUCUGGGGUUUUAAACAUCAAACUUUUCCCAAAAAUUCCAAAUAGGUCUUAGAACGGAGGGGCAUCUUGACAAGUCCACAAUUGCAUUAGGCGUGCGUCUUUGAUUCAAAUCAAAAAGUCAUAUGGGAACUGAAGAAAAUGCAAGGAUGUUGAUGUCAAAUGGUCCCACGUCGAAGAGAUAUUGAAUUAUAGGGAUCUAUGUGCAUGAGAAAUGGAUGUCCAACUUUCAGCUCAAACUGCAGGCGCAUCGCGCGUGCGAAUUCACUAGAGAGAAAAUGUUUGGAGUAUAUUUAGCACAUUGGGUUUUGGCGCUUUCUUUGUUUUACCUCCAAGGCAGGGAUAAAUCAGAGACAUGGAAACUACUGGAACUCGCUCUGUUAAUCAGAGACAAAACAUGACUGCAGAGCAGCUGGCCAUUCAACGAGCAAUAAACCGUGAUCGACAAAGCAUCCGUAGGCAAAACAUGACAGAGGAGCAGAGGUUUACUGUACGCGAGCAUGAUCGUAUUCGACACAGAGCCGUCAAGGAAAAGCUGAACCUUCCUUCAACAUCUACAAGCAACAAUGCUGCACACCUGUUUGAGUUACACAACAAAAUGUGCAGACAGAAGUUGAAGGCUAUGUGGAAUUAGAGCCUCUAACACCUAGGUUAUACACGAAAAAUACAAAAUUACGGAACAAACGGAACGGAAGGCGCAUCGCUUGUGCGUGUUAUACUAGUAUGGAUAAACAAAUUACAAGAAUUUAUUACACAUACGCUUGAUUCUCAAAUUCAACAGCACAAUAACCUGUAUACAUUCAAUUCAUAAAUGUUGAUGUUGACAUUAUAAUAACAAAGCUAAUAC
Long non-coding RNA from Papaver somniferum (opium poppy), 1220 nucleotides. RefSeq lists it as uncharacterized. The transcript is spliced from 3 exons. The record is from RefSeq and is a predicted model, not a curated record. Lineage: Eukaryota; Viridiplantae; Streptophyta; Magnoliopsida; Ranunculales; Papaveraceae.